This 390-nucleotide ribosomal RNA is filed under the name fungal sp. RNAcentral's name for it is "SSU rRNA". It matches the Rfam family "Eukaryotic small subunit ribosomal RNA", at positions 827 to 1219 of the family's 1831-position model. The record is from RNAcentral. Lineage: Eukaryota; Fungi.
CCUGUGGUUCUGUUUUGUUGGUUUCUGGAACCGCGGUAAUGAUUAAUAGGGAUAGUUGGGGGCAUUCGUAUCUCGUAGCUAGAGGUGAAAUUCUUGGAUUUACGAGCGACGAACCUAUGCGAAAGCAUUUGCCAAGGAUGUUUUCAUUGAUCAAGAACGAAAGUUAGGGGAUCGAAGACGAUUAGAUACCGUCGUAGUCUUAACCAUAAACGAUGCCGACUAGGGAUUGGGCGAUGUUGUUUCUGACUCGCUCAGCACCUUCAGAGAAAUCAAAGUGUUUGGGUUUUGGGGGAAGUAUGGUCGCAAGGCUGAAACUUAAAGGAAUUGACGGAAGGGCACCACCAGGAGUGGAGCCUGCGGCUUAAAUCGACUCAACACGGGAAACUCACC